AGAGCGAACGCUGGCGGCAGGCUUAACACAUGCAAGUCGAGCGGGCGUAGCAAUACGUCAGCGGCAGACGGGUGAGUAACGCGUGGGAACAUACCUUUUGGUUCGGAACAACACAGGGAAACUUGUGCUAAUACCGGAUAAGCCCUUACGGGGAAAGAUUUAUCGCCGAAAGAUUGGCCCGCGUCUGAUUAGCUAGUUGGUGAGGUAAUGGCUCACCAAGGCGACGAUCAGUAGCUGGUCUGAGAGGAUGAUCAGCCACAUUGGGACUGAGACACGGCCCAAACUCCUACGGGAGGCAGCAGUGGGGAAUAUUGGACAAUGGGCGCAAGCCUGAUCCAGCCAUGCCGCGUGAGUGAUGAAGGCCCUAGGGUUGUAAAGCUCUUUUGUGCGGGAAGAUAAGUGACGGUACCGCAAGAAUAACGCCCCGGACUAACUUCGUGCCAGCAGCCGC
Molecule: ribosomal RNA, 451 nt
Filed under: uncultured bacterium
Lineage: Bacteria
Description: SSU rRNA
Rfam family: Bacterial small subunit ribosomal RNA
Source: RNAcentral